Molecule: ribosomal RNA, 427 nt
Filed under: Sacoproteus yhiae
Lineage: Eukaryota; Metazoa; Mollusca; Gastropoda; Limapontiidae
Description: partial 16S ribosomal RNA
Rfam family: Bacterial large subunit ribosomal RNA
Source: RNAcentral
AGCCUUAAGUUUUAUUUUAGGUGAAGCCUGCCCAGUGCAAUUAGUUAACGGCCGCAGUACCCUGACUGUGCUAAGGUAGCAUAAUAAUUUGGCUUUUAAAUGGAGUCGGGAAUGAAUGGAUUAAUAGGGUAAAGCUGUCUCUCCUGUAUUUAUUUGAACUUACUUAUUAGGUGAAAAUGCCUAAUAAAAGAAAAAAGACGAGAAGACCCUGGGAGUUUUUACUAAUAUCUUCUUUAAGGUUCUGUUUUUGUUGGGGCGACAAGAGAGUAAUGAAACCUCUUUUAGUAGAUAAGCCGACUACGUAUGAUAAAUUAAACUACCCCAGGGAUAACAGCGUAAUUCUUUUUGAGUUUGCGACCUCGAUGUUGGACUAGGAAUUUGAUAGGUUAGCCGCCUAUUUUUAUUGUUCUGUUCGAACUAUUUUUCC